RNAcentral lists this ribosomal RNA (773 nucleotides) under uncultured Neocallimastigales. RNAcentral describes it as "partial large subunit ribosomal RNA". It matches the Rfam family "Eukaryotic large subunit ribosomal RNA", at positions 22 to 641 of the family's 3401-position model. The record is from RNAcentral. Lineage: Eukaryota; Fungi; Neocallimastigomycota; Neocallimastigomycetes; Neocallimastigales.
UACACGCUGUGACUAGCAUAUCAAUAAGCGGAGGAAAAGAAACUAACAAGGAUUCCCCUAGUAACGGCGAGUGAAGCGGGAAGAGCUCAAAUUUGAAAUCUUAAAGGGUUUCCCUUUACGAAUUGUAGUUUAAAGAGGUGUUUUCUGUUGAGGUUUUGGUAAAAGUUCUUUGGAAUAGGACAUCAUAGAGGGUGAGAAUCCCGUAUUUGACCUUUACUUUCAACUUUGUGAUACACUUUCAAAGAGUCGGAUUGUUUGGGAAUGCAGUCCAAAAUGGGUGGUAAAUUUCAUCUAAAGCUAAAUAUUGGCGAGAGACCGAUAGCGAACAAGUACCGUGAGGGAAAGAUGAAAAGAACUUUGAAAAGAGAGUUAAACAGUACGUGAAAUUGUCAAAAGGGAAGCGUUUGACACCAGUGUUGUUUUUCUGAAAAUCAAUUAAAGAACUGUUUAUGCUAAGCUGUUUAGACUUUAUCAGCUAUCUGUUUAGUUUUGAGCUUUUCUUUAAUGCACUUUUCAGUUAACGAGUCAACAUCAAUUUCUUUCGCUGUAAAAAAGCUUGAGGAAGGUGGCUUGAGAUUCGUCUUAAGUGUUUAUAGCCUCUUGCCUAUGCAGUCGGAAAGAUUGAGGUCUGCAGCGUAGAUCCUUCGGGGCUAAAUGCAUUUGUGCUAAGUUAUAGCAUUUUAUAGACAACUUGUUGACUAUGAUUUGUCUUGUAGCUUACUCGCUUAUGUUAUUUUACCUACGCUUAGGAUGUUGAUAUGCAUGACUGAUAU